CGCGGGAUAGAGCAGUCAGGUCAGCUCGCUAGGCUCAUAACCUUGAGGUCGCAAGUUCAAAUCUUGCUCCCGCUACCA
This 78-nucleotide transfer RNA is filed under the name Sphingomonas sp. RNAcentral's name for it is "tRNA-Met". It matches the Rfam family "tRNA". From Rfam's summary of the family: Transfer RNA (tRNA) molecules are approximately 80 nucleotides in length. Their secondary structure includes four short double-helical elements and three loops (D, anti-codon, and T loops). The record is from RNAcentral. Lineage: Bacteria; Pseudomonadati; Pseudomonadota; Alphaproteobacteria; Sphingomonadales; Sphingomonadaceae.